This 253-nucleotide ribosomal RNA is filed under the name uncultured bacterium. RNAcentral describes it as "partial 16S ribosomal RNA". It matches the Rfam family "Bacterial small subunit ribosomal RNA", at positions 524 to 776 of the family's 1533-position model. The record is from RNAcentral.
UACGUAGGUGGCGAGCGUUGUCCGGAUUUACUGGGCGUAAAGAGCGCGCAGGCGGUCGUUCAAGUCGGAUGUGAAAGCCCCCGGCUCAACUGGGGAGGGUCAUUCGAUACUGAUCGACUCGAAGGCAGGAGAGGGAAGCGGAAUUCCCGGUGUAGUGGUGAAAUGCGUAGAUAUCAGGAGGAACACCUGCGGUGUAGACGGCUUACUGGACCAUAACUGACGCUGAGGCACGAAAGCGUGGGUAGCAAACAGG